UACGUAGGGUGCAAGCGUUGUCCGGAAUUAUUGGGCGUAAAGAGCUCGUAGGCGGUUUGUCGCGUCUGCUGUGAAAACGCGAGGCUCAACCUCGCGCCUGCAGUGGGUACGGGCAGACUAGAGUGCGGUAGGGGGAGAUUGGAAUUCCUGGUGUAGCGGUGAAAUGCGCAGAUAUCAGGAGGAACACCGAUGGCGAAGGCAGGUCUCUGGGCCAUUACUGACACUGAGAAGCGAAAGCAUGGGGAGCGAACAGG
This 254-nucleotide ribosomal RNA is filed under the name uncultured bacterium. RNAcentral describes it as "partial 16S ribosomal RNA". It matches the Rfam family "Bacterial small subunit ribosomal RNA", at positions 524 to 776 of the family's 1533-position model. The record is from RNAcentral.